UUUCGAUCGAACUUCACAAUCAACAAAUCAGCUGUGGAGGCAGCGGCGUCGUGUGCAAGCCUGCUUCCACAGAACCAUGUUUCUACUCAUUAAGGAGGAAUGACCAUUUUAUACCAUGAAUGUGUUGAUGACGUGGGGCCUAUGUGUGUCUGAGAAUGAAGAGAACCACCAUCCUGACACAAUCCAGGAAGAAAUCCAUGACCAGCAUCCUGACACAUUACAGGAAGAAAUCCAUGACCAGCAUCCUGUCCCAAUGCGGAAAGCGAGUGACGGCCAAAAUGCUGACCAGCAGCUUCAGGUAUGUGUCCGUGAGCAUAAAUAAAUGCAAGAAAGCAUGUCAGCCGGGCAGUCAGCUGGGCAGUCAACCUGUUAUGUCUGUGCUCACAACUCUGCUAGACUGGACCGAACAUUCACAGUCGUGCUAGCUUGCCCCCCAGGCAGACGCAUCGGUGUGCGAGAGAGGGGGCGUCCCCACGGAAGUGCCCGUGUCACUGCUGGUGUGUCACCAGAGGGCCUGAAGGCCGGGGCAGGACUCCAGCCCCUUAGAUAUGGAUCAGGAGGAAUAACGGGAGCAGGGCCAUCAAUAAAGAUGAAGCAUGGCUCCGGCUUUGACAGCAGACUGCUGUUGUGGCUGGCGACGGUGUGUGAUCUGCAUGGCCACUCCAUCAGCGCGAGACCCCCUGUUCCGCUGAUGGAUGCCGGCGCCGCGGAGCCCCUGGGCCAGCGGGCGCGUCGCUACGCGUUCCGGAAACAUGGCCGACUCAGAGCCUGCUCUUGGGAGUUUGCCACUGUUUGUCAAUUAUUUUCCCCCCGCACAUAUGUAUGUGUGUGCGUAUGUAGGUAUGUAUGUAUGUAUGUAUGUGAGUUAGUGAGUGAGUCUGUGUGUGCCUGUGUGCAUGUGCAUGUGAGAGAGGUAUAAUUUUCUCUAUAUUCUGGAUGGAAGGCUGAUUUGAUGGAUUGCGCGGCAGAAAUAUUUCAUCGACUGAUUGAGCGCAGGCUUUUUUCGUAUCUGACAAGCAAAUUUCUUGCUCACUCGAUCUUUUUAAUAUUUCUCCUUUUACUCGUAGGCUGCUUGUCAGGUAGGUGUAUAGCUCCUCACUGCCGCUCUUAGUAUUGUCACUUCGAUUCACUGCCCCCCCACACACACCCCCCCCCCUCCCCUGACCACCACCUCCUUCUCUCUCAUAGGGUAUUAGUAUGCUAUUGGUUGUGCCUGAUUUGAUGAGCCAGGGAACUAAAAAUCUUUAACAUAGAAUGAAAAAAGAAAUCCUCAUGCUCAACAAAAUAUCAAUGACUUACGCUUCAGUAGUUUCAGUGAUAAUAUUUAGCAUGUGAAUCGAAGGAUAUUGAGUCCUUGUUCCAUUUCCUCCACUCAUAAGGUGAACAGGUGAAUCUAAGGCUAUAAGGAAACUUUUGGAAACUGAGAGUGACUGGGCGUCAUUCACAAAACUUUUCUAAAAUUCUUCUUACUGUUUUCUUAAUAAAAGUUGCUACGGAAAUA
Molecule: long non-coding RNA, 1501 nt
Organism: Anguilla rostrata (American eel)
Lineage: Eukaryota; Metazoa; Chordata; Actinopteri; Anguilliformes; Anguillidae
Exons: 2
Source: RefSeq, a predicted model, not a curated record